AAGAAGACCAUAGACACGCACUGCCACAGGCGUACCACAUUUCGGUGCGAUAGACAGGUGUGCGCGUAUGCGUUUUCAAGUGC
Molecule: microRNA precursor, 83 nt
Filed under: Echinococcus granulosus
Lineage: Eukaryota; Metazoa; Platyhelminthes; Cestoda; Cyclophyllidea; Taeniidae
Description: microRNA egr-mir-10287 precursor
Source: miRBase by way of RNAcentral